GACGAACGCUGGCGGCGUGCUUAACACAUGCAAGUCGAACGGAAAGGCCCUGCUUUUGUGGGGUGCUCGAGUGGCGAACGGGUGAGUAACACGUGAGUAACCUGCCCUUGACUUUGGGAUAACUUCAGGAAACUGGGGCUAAUACCGGAUAGGAGCUCCUGCUGCAUGGUGGGGGGUGGAAAGUUUCGGCGGUUGGGGAUGGACUCGCGGCUUAUCAGCUUGUUGGUGGGGUAGUGGCUUACCAAGGCUUUGACGGGUAGCCGGCCUGAGAGGGUGACCGGCCACAUUGGGACUGAGAUACGGCCCAGACUCCUACGGGAGGCAGCAGUGGGGAAUAUUGUACAAUGGGCGGAAGCCUGAUGCAGCAACGCCGCGUGCGGGAUGACGGCCUUCGGGUUGUAAACCGCUUUCGCCUGUGACGAAGCGUGAGUGACGGUAAUGGGUAAAGAAGCACCGGCUAACUACGUG
This 468-nucleotide ribosomal RNA is filed under the name uncultured bacterium. RNAcentral describes it as "partial 16S ribosomal RNA". It matches the Rfam family "Bacterial small subunit ribosomal RNA", at positions 28 to 507 of the family's 1533-position model. The record is from RNAcentral.